UACGGGGGGGGCAAGCGUUGUUCGGAAUUACUGGGCGUAAAGGGCUCGUAGGUGGCCAACUAAGUCGGACGUGAAAUCCCUCGGCUUAACCGGGGAACUGCGUCCGAUACUGGUUGGCUUGAGUUUGGGAGAGGGAUGCGGAAUUCCAGGUGUAGCGGUGAAAUGCGUAGAUAUCUGAAGGAACACCAGUGGCGAAAGCGGCUUCCUGGUCCAGUACCGACGUUCAGGCACGAAAGCGUGGGGAGCAAACAGG
RNAcentral lists this ribosomal RNA (253 nucleotides) under uncultured bacterium. RNAcentral's name for it is "partial 16S ribosomal RNA". It matches the Rfam family "Bacterial small subunit ribosomal RNA", at positions 524 to 776 of the family's 1533-position model. The record is from RNAcentral.